Molecule: non-coding RNA, 585 nt
Organism: Anas platyrhynchos (mallard)
Lineage: Eukaryota; Metazoa; Chordata; Aves; Anseriformes; Anatidae
Source: RefSeq, a predicted model, not a curated record
CCUGGCAGUUAGUGAUGACAGGUAACGUGGCAGUGCAUGGGUGUACUAAUACAUUGUAUGGACUGUGUUGGCGAAGACAUCCGGUCUGCCUCUGGGCACGUACUGAAGGGCAGCUGGCACAGUCAUGUCUGGUGGUUGGCCGCUGUGGAUUUGGGAGAGUAUAUCUGCUUGUGAGCAGCUGUUUGCAUAGUGCUUGAACGGUGUGCUUGAGGAGGUCUGUUGAAUCUUGAAAGCUUACAGAUAUGGGGUUUUGAAUCUUUUAUUUUCUAUUCUGUCCCCAGUAGAGUGUAAACCUUUGGAGGAACCUUUCACGGAAAGAGCUCCUUCUGGAACUGUUCAGCGCUCGGUGACUGGUUUGAUCUACUUCUGAGGUGCUGAGGCAAGGGGGCUGCUGUUUUGAAACGAUAAUAUUGUGAAACACAGUGUACAACACGGGACUUAACCGGAGCUGCUUUUUGCAAGGGGUGUUGUAGCUGGCCUAAGAGAGCAGAUGGAAGCGUCUGCCUUGAGGGCAGGUGAGGGGGCCGAGGUGCCGUGGCAGGCUCUCCACAGAAGCGGUUGAGGAUUGGAGAAGAGGUUGCAGAU